CUGCUGCCUUCCGUAGGAGUUUGGACCGUGUCUCAGUUCCAAUGUGGGGGACCUUCCUCUCAGAACCCCUACGCAUCGUCGGCUUGGUGGGCCGUUGCCCCACCAACUACCUAAUGCGCCGCAUGCCCAUCCAUGACCGGGGUCGCCCCCUUUGGCCGGCAGGGGAUGUCCCCUCCCGGCAUUAUGUUGUAUUAGGCGGGAUUUCUCCCGGUUAUCCAUCUGUCACGGCCAGGUUGCAUACGUGUUACUCACCCGUGCGCCGGUCGCCCGGG
Molecule: ribosomal RNA, 272 nt
Filed under: uncultured bacterium
Lineage: Bacteria
Description: partial 16S ribosomal RNA
Source: RNAcentral